CUCCUCUGUCCAUGGGAUUUUCCAGGCAAGAGCCCUGGAGUGGGGUGCCAGUGCCUUCUCUGAGUUUCUCGGGUAUGCACCUUGGCGCUAUGGGGCCAAUAUCCUUUGUUAUCAAAUGCUGAGUUUCCUCAAGCUGCGCCUUCAUUGGUGGCUGCGGUCUGAUGACUGCUUGAUGAUGGACACUCCUUGUUUCCAUCCUGAGUUCCCUCUGGGCUCACUGGGGGAGGGGUUGCAAUUGCUGAUGCCUGUGACAUACUCGGUUUCUGAUAUGGCGGGCAGUGUUUCAUUUCUCACAACUUCACACGUGUCGCGCACAUUUGCUCUCCUACCCACCACAUCUGCAGCCCUUGACCCUGCAGUUGAAGACCACUGCCCCAGCCUCAACCUCAUCUCAGCCAAAGCUUCAGCUCCCUCUCUCCAGCCUGCCCCCAUGUUCAAGAAGGCAAAGACCCAAACACAUGUUCUCCAAACCACCACAGUCCUGCCAGCCUGUGAGAUGAUCUCGUCUAGGACACAAGUCUGGAUGAGGAACAGAGACAAGCAGAAAUUCCUCCAAUUCCAUUUUAUCACCGGGGUGGUGGCAUCUGGGAUCUUGAGUGCUAGAUGGCUGUGGAUGGAGUUGAGAGUCCAGGGGUCCAGAGACCAGCAACCAGCCAGGGCAGCAUCAGACCACGCCCUUGGGAUGACUUGUCUGUGCUUUGGCCCAUCAGCAUUCCCUUCAGUCCAUUCUGAGAGCUACCUACCCAGUAUUCUUACAGUAUACUCCUUUUUUUAUAAGUAG
Molecule: long non-coding RNA, 781 nt
Filed under: Capra hircus (goat)
Lineage: Eukaryota; Metazoa; Chordata; Mammalia; Artiodactyla; Bovidae
Description: lncRNA (ENSCHIG00010025769.1)
Source: RNAcentral